RNAcentral lists this long non-coding RNA (3172 nucleotides) under Piliocolobus tephrosceles (Ugandan red Colobus). RNAcentral describes it as "lncRNA (ENSPTEG00000016520.1)". The record is from RNAcentral. Lineage: Eukaryota; Metazoa; Chordata; Mammalia; Primates; Cercopithecidae.
ACAAACGAUUUAAAACUGUGGCUUAGCCAUUUUUAAUAAAUAUGCUCUCUUGUAUUAAGGAUAAAAACUUAACUUGUAUAAGAUAUAAUAUGUGAUAUAAUUUUACCAUAUUAAUUAAAAAUUUUAAAAAUCAUAAAAUAGCAAAUUAUAAAUAGUUGCAUGAAUCGUUCAUGUUUUUUAAUUUUUUAUCCGUUUGUUUGCUUAUUUGUUUGUUUAUAUAUAUUUUUUUUUUUUUUUUUAAUAUAAAAUGAUAACUUGUUCAUAUAAAUUUUUAUUAAGUAAUAAAAAAAAAAUAAAUAAAUAAAAAAAAUGCAUUGAUGUGAUAUCCGCCUUGUCCUUAUUUAUGCAAUAACGAAUACAAGAAAAACUAAUUUGUUAGCUAUAUUUUUACAGCACAUUUUUACAGCACAAAUUUACAAAAAUGAAAGCAUAAAAAUAAGCAAAAAAAGGACAGAAAUAUAAAAAUAUAGAAAUAAAAUAUGUUCAUACAAGUGUAAACCAAUUGGGACCAUAUAGCCAAACACAAAAAUUAGCAUUAAUUUGUACAUGUAUAUAAAUAUGUAAAUUUAUUUGUCAAUUUAAAACGUAAAACAUUUUACUAAAUUUUAUUUUAAAAAUAUAUAAUAUUUUAUUUAUAUUAAUUGUAAGUAUUAAUUAAGGGUUAAAAACAAAAAUAAAAAGUAAGACCUUAAAAGGAAAGGUUUUAAAAAGUGAGGUUUUAAAAAGUAAGGCUUUAAAAAGUGUCCUUUUUAGUUUAACGAAAACGAACGAGAAAACAAAGGAUUAACAGUUAAAAAGAAAAGAGAAUAUCUGGUUAAAAAGGUUUGUAACAUGUUUUUUACAAAUGUAAAAUUUUUGAGCAAAUCAGUGAAAAAUAAAAUUUCAAAGAGAAAGGGGUGGGUAAAAAGAAAUAAGCAAUGGGCAUUACCCAAAGUUGAAAAGUCUUAUUUAAAGCAAGAACAAGACUUUAUUGCUCCACUAAAAAGUAUACCACUCAAUGAUAAAAACAUAACUUCUUCCCAAAAUAAUAAAUACAACGAAAAAAGUAACAAUAAUGACAAUAAUAAAAACGAAAACUUUCAAAUAAAAAAGGAUUAUAGUACAAUAUGGGAAGAAUUAAAAAAAAAAGAAAAAGACAGACUAAAACCACAUGAAUAUAAAAAAUUAGUCAAAAAAAAUAAAACUAUAUUAUGUGCUAAUGAUGACAAAUUAAGUUUAAAAAAAUUACUAUUACAAAAAGGACAGAAACAAAUGAAUAUAAAUAUUGCAGAAAUUAAAGAUGAAGAUAAAGAAAAAAAAAAAAAAGAAAUGAACACUUUUUGGUAUAUGCCAAACCCUUUUGAAAAAAAAGGAAUAUAUGGAAUGAAAGAAAAUAAUUUUUAUAAAACUUUUAUAAAAGAUAGAGAAAGACAAUUUGAUAAGAUAGAUCCAAAAAAAUUGAAUGAAAAUGAAAAAAAAUUAUUAAACGAAAUGUAUAAAAAGAAUACAAAUAAUAACAGUAGUAGUAUAAGUAAUAAAUUAUUGGAAAAAGUUACACCAUUAGAAGAAAUAGAAAAAGUAAAUAAAAAAAAAAAUAUACGAAUUAAUCCUGAAAAAUAUUGGUAUUCUAUUGAUUAUAAAACACCUGAAGAUAUAUCCACUAUAUGUUCAUUAAAGUCAAGAGAUUUAAGAUUUAUUAUGAUGAAUGAAGCAAAAUUAGUUAGAAAAGGAAAAAAUGUAGAUAUAGAAUUAUGGCUAGCUUUUAUGAACCGAGUCAUACAAUUAUCUUCAAAAGUUCAUAUACGAAGUUUAUUAAGAUAUUUACAAACAAUUGCAUCUGUUAAAUUUAAUAAUAAAAAAUUAAUAAAUGAUUUUAUUUGUACAAUUUUUAAAAGAGAAAACUAUAUGAAACCAAAGUAUUUUGUUUAUUUAUUCCAAAGUUGUGCAAGAUUAAAAUGGAAUGAUUAUAAAUUAAUAUAUGCAUUAAAAAAUAUGACAUUAUGUUGGUCUAUUUUAAGAAAUAAUUUUUUAAUAAAAUCUGCUAAUGCAAUUGCUAAAUUAGGAUUAGCAAGUAAUGUAUAUAGUAAAGCUUUACAAAUAACAUUAGAAGAAAGAUUAAUGAAUAAUUUUACAGGCAAAAAUUUAAAAACAAUUAAAUUUAUUACAUUUUUAGAAUUUUUUAAUGAACAAAUGAUUAUAAAAUUUGUUUCCCUUUCUACUUUUUAUAAACAACAUUUUAAUUAUUAUACAAGACAUUUACAAAUCUUAUAUUUAUAUAUUGUAUUAUUUCAUCCAUCUAUAUAUGCAAAACUAACAGAAGAACAGCGCCAUUUUUUAGAACGCUAUUCAAAAGAAAGUAAUUUAAAAAAAAUUAUUAAAAUGGAACAAAAAAAUGAUUUGCGUAGGUUGAGCAGGAUAGAAAAAAAUGAAGGCAAGCGAUCGCGAGUUAGUACUGGUGGUAUUAGUAGUGGCGGUUUUAAAAGUGGUGGUUUUAGUAGCAAUGAAAGUUCCGAAAGUUGUAGUGAUGAUGAAAGUGAUAGUGACAGUGAUAGUGACAGUGAUAGUGACAGUGAUAGUGACAGUGAUGAUGAUAAGUAUAAUACUAGUAACAACACGGAAGUACAACUAGGUAACAAAGUAUGUGGCGGUUAUACAUGUAUGUUACAUAAAGAAGUUAGUGACAUAUUAAAAAAAUUAAAAAUAGAGCAUUUAAAUUCAAUUAAAUGUGGCCCAUUUAUAGUAGAUAUAUAUCACCCUAAAUCCAACUAUAUAAUCGAAUUAAAUGCAAAUUUUCAAUAUUAUUUGAAUACAGAAAAUUUAACAACUAUGUCAAAAUGGAGACAUAAGUUUUUUAUGCACAUGGGAUAUAAGGUAAUAUUUAUAUCGCAUAAAAUAUGGAUAAGCUUAUCAAAUGAUAAUCAAAAAAUGGAUUAUAUAUGUUCUAUUUUACCGAAUGUUAUAUUAUCGGGUCCUCCGGUUUCUUUACAGUUGUGUAAGACGUAAAAAGGGGCUUAUAUAUGUACCUAUUUAUUUAUUCAUUUAUUUGUUUAUUUAUUUAUUUAUUUAUUUAUUUAUUUAUUUGUUUAUUUAUUUAUUUAUUUAUUUGUUUAUUUAUUUAUUUAUUUGUUUAUUUAUUUAUUUAUUUAUUUAUUUAUUUGUUUAUUUAUUUAUUUAUUUAUUUGUUUAUUUAUUU